This 484-nucleotide ribosomal RNA is filed under the name uncultured bacterium. RNAcentral's name for it is "bacterial SSU rRNA". It matches the Rfam family "Bacterial small subunit ribosomal RNA", at positions 417 to 917 of the family's 1533-position model. The record is from RNAcentral.
UUCGGAUUGUAAACCACUGUCAGGGGUUACCAAGUUCUGAGGAGCCCCAGAGGAAGGCACGGCUAACUCUGUGCCAGCAGCCGCGGUAAGACAGAGGUGCCGAGCGUUAGGCGGAAUCACUGGGCUUAAAGCGUGUGUAGGCGGGCGAUCAAGUACCUUGUGAAAUCCCACGGCUCAACCGUGGAACCGCUGGGUAUACUGGUUGUCUUGAGCCGGCCAGGGGCGAGCGGAACAGACGGUGGAGCGGUGAAAUGCGUAGAUAUCGUCUGGAACGCCGAAGGUGAAAACAGCUCGCUGGGGCCGCGCUGACGCUGAGACACGAAAGCCAGGGGAGCGAACGGGAUUAGAUACCCCGGUAGUCCUGGCCCUAAACGAUGUCCACUAGAUCGCUGGACUUUUGACGGUCUGGCGGUCGAAGCCAAAGUGCUAAGUGGACCGCCUGGGAAGUACGGUCGCAAGGCUAAAACUCAAAUGAAUUGACGGA